Long non-coding RNA from Camelus dromedarius (Arabian camel), 189 nucleotides. RefSeq lists it as uncharacterized. Lineage: Eukaryota; Metazoa; Chordata; Mammalia; Artiodactyla; Camelidae. The record is from RefSeq and is a predicted model, not a curated record. The transcript is spliced from 3 exons.
GAAACCUCCAAUAUCAGAUCAAGUUAUUCUACCUUAGUUCAGCCGCUGUGUAUUGACCCCCAGAGGAUGCAGAGUCCCUGCAGCAGCCUGUCAGGAUCCACUUGCAUUGUAGCCCCUGUAUUUACCAAGCAUCUUCAAGACAUCUCUACAACCAGAGGACAGUUUGUCGUGUUUGAAUGUCGAGUCCAG